CGCUGAUGGCGGACUGAUCAGCCAUGCCGCGUGCAGGAUGACGGCCCUAUGGGUUGUAAACUGCUUUUAUACGGGAAGAAACGCGCCCACGUGUGGGCGUUUGACGGUACCGUAAGAAUAAGGACCGGCUAACUCCGUGCCAGCAGCCGCGGUAAUACGGAGGGUCCGAGCGUUAUCCGGAAUCAUUGGGUUUAAAGGGUCCGUAGGCGGGCCUGUAAGUCAGGGGUGAAAGUUUGUGGCUCAACCAUAAAAUUGCCUUUGAUACUGCAGGUCUUGAGUCAUGGUGGGGUUGCCGGAACAUGUGGUGUAGCGGUGAAAUGCAUAGAUAUCACAUAGAACACCGAUCGCGAAGGCAGGUGACCAACCAUGUACUGACGCUGAUGGACGAAAGCGUGGGUAGCGAACGGGAUUAGAUACCCCCGGUAGUCAA
Molecule: ribosomal RNA, 430 nt
Filed under: Flagellimonas lutimaris
Lineage: Bacteria; Pseudomonadati; Bacteroidota; Flavobacteriia; Flavobacteriales; Flavobacteriaceae
Description: bacterial SSU rRNA
Rfam family: Bacterial small subunit ribosomal RNA
Source: RNAcentral